Molecule: long non-coding RNA, 540 nt
Filed under: Mustela putorius furo (domestic ferret)
Lineage: Eukaryota; Metazoa; Chordata; Mammalia; Carnivora; Mustelidae
Description: lncRNA (ENSMPUG00000024630.1)
Source: RNAcentral
CUGGGAGCUGGAAUUCUGCACAGGCGAGUCUCCCCAGAGGCUGGAUUCUGGCCCUGAGGGUACCAGGCUGGCCCAGGAACACCCCUGAGAUACUCCCAAAUGAGGUCACAGUUGGGUGGGGACACACACACCGCAGCUGAUCCUUACUGUGCACCGCAGAAGAUCCAGCGGAGGUCUGGAGCUGACAGUGAGAGAAGAGCCGUGCAUUCCUCGUGGGAAGGGCAGCGGAGUCUUCAAUGGAGGGGAGCUAUGAACUUGGCCAGGCUGCGUGAGGAGGGGACAUCAGCCCAGAGGGAUGGGAAAAGGAAGGCACAGAGAGGCCAAGGAACUUGCCCAAACACACAGCAGAUCAGCCCAGAGCUGGGAGUCAGCCCAGGAGGCGCUCCAGAGGCCACACUGUUCACACGUCUGCCUUAAGGGAGAAGAACGCUGGUGGAAGAUUGCUGUCCACUCCGGCCCAGGGCUGCCUCCAGGUACCUCUUCUGGUACCGGAGAGAAGCCAGGCCCCCAGACUCUCUCCAGCCGGCAGGUCGAGGGCUG